CCUGGGGGAGGCAGCAGGGGGGAAUAUUGCACAAUGGGGGAAACCAUGAUGCAGCGACGCCGGGGAGAGAAGAUCUUUUUAUGAUAAAAAUCCUUCUCGGGGAGGACAAUAAUGACGUUCCACGAGANNCCCAGUUG
This 137-nucleotide ribosomal RNA is filed under the name bacterium. Its description in RNAcentral is "partial 16S ribosomal RNA". The record is from RNAcentral.